This is a long non-coding RNA of Hordeum vulgare subsp. vulgare (domesticated barley), 748 nucleotides long. RefSeq lists it as uncharacterized. NCBI's taxonomy places the organism in Eukaryota, Viridiplantae, Streptophyta, Magnoliopsida, Poales, Poaceae. The transcript has 2 exons. The record is from RefSeq and is a predicted model, not a curated record.
UGUGAUGAGUGCAGAUUAUGGGUGGAGAUGGAGAUGGUUUUGCUUGUUUAUUAAGAUCAAAUUAGGGCAAUAUAUACAUCCAAAUUCAGAUCCCAAUGGUACCCAACAAAGAGGGAAUCAACUUGACAAGGGAAGAAGCCUGGAAGGGCCAACUUUCAUUUUCACGUCAAGCAGGGUUGAUUAUCAGAGGGCUAGGAAAGAUGGAGCAGAGCGGGAGCAUAGACUACGAUGAGUUCAUCGAGGCGAGAGUGUACAUCAAGAAGUUGUAGCUCGAAGAGCACAUGAUGGCUGCCUACGCCUAUUUUUACAUGAACGACAAUGGAUACAUCACCAUAGAGAAGGUGAAAGAGGCCUGCUGAGAGUACAAUAUACGAGAUGUAGCGGGAGGAGCACCUGUUGGCUGCCUUUGCCUAUUUCGACAAGGAGCACGACGGGUACAUCACUAUAGAGAAGGUGGAAGAGGCCUGCCGAGAGUAUAACAUACAAGCCGUCUCCAUAUCGAAUUAAUUAAUUGAUUCAUUUAAUUCAAGUGAUUAGUCCUACUGUUAAGCUAAAAAUGCAAAUCUGAAAUCCAAAUUGAACAUGUCCUUUAUAUAAAGGAACGAAGGGGUAUAUUUUUAACUGAAUUUUUCAUAUUCAGUACUUUGUCUUUGUCUGCGCUACGGAUGAUAUCAAUAUUUAUAACCCAACUCACUGUUCGUGUUGUUCGUGUAAACUGGUGGAGAUAAAAAAAAGUUUGCAUCAUCUA